RNAcentral lists this long non-coding RNA (1698 nucleotides) under Phascolarctos cinereus (koala). Its description in RNAcentral is "lncRNA (ENSPCIG00000032491.1)". The record is from RNAcentral. Lineage: Eukaryota; Metazoa; Chordata; Mammalia; Diprotodontia; Phascolarctidae.
AUGCUUCAAGCCAUCUGUUUUCUCAUGUUCAAGAAACCUCUCCUAGGCCCUGCCUCUGUUGGAACAUUGGCCACCGCAAGCGGAGAUGAUCCCCGAGGGGACAGCAGAAGCCUCCCACACACACUUCCUGUUUCGCAUGGGGUGUACCUGCGGGCCAGAGAUGAGGUGUGGUUCUUACCUGAGCCGUCACAUCCCGCUAUGCCAGGAAGGACUCUGUGGGUGUUACACAGAAUCAUAAAACUGUAAGAGAAGUGUGAUGUCAUCGAGCCCAACCCCCUCAGUUUACAGGGAAGGAAACCCUCAUGUAAGGAAAGCAACUGGACCAAGGUCAAGAAGAUCCCUUCCCUUCUGAUUAAAUGGAAGAGCCGGAAUUCAAACUCAUUCUCAAGAUUCCAUGUCUAGCUGUCUUUCUAAUAUGCCAUGUGAGCAUUCAUUUUUCAUUUAUAUGUUCAUUCAACAAAUAUGAUAAACUACCUACUAUGUGCUAGGCUCUGAGGGAGCUCUAAAUAAGAUUUGUCCCUUUCCCUCCGGGUGCUUACACUGCAGGGUUAAGGAGACAAACAGAAUGCCAAAUGGGAUACGGUGAGAAUCCAAAAAGAAGUUAGGGAGUGCUAGGAGAUCCAACUUUCCUCCUUGGCAGCAAGAGAACUCUGUAGGGACUUUUUGUUUGUUUUGAUUGUCUUGUUUUGCAGUCAAAUUGUUCUUUAGUUUACAAUUCUGGGCACAUAGUAGAUGACUUAAUAAGUACAUAUGAAGUGUCUGCCGCAGCACAGUGCCUGCCAUGUUGCUUGGACUUGAUGAGUGUGCGCUGACUGCCUCUGAGACCUCGGACAAUCACUUCCUUCUCUGUCCCUCAGUUUCUGCUUUGUAAAGUGAAGGGAAGGUCUCAAAAUAAUAAUAACUAGCAUUUAUUAACAUUCAAGGUUGUGAAAUCAGAAAAGACAAGAUCCGGCAAAGGACUGACUACGUGGGUUGAGCGUGAGUGAGGAGACAAGGCUGACUCAUGUUCAGGACUUCGGAUGGCCAAGUGAAGAAGAAGGAAGGUUUUGGGGAAAGAAUGAGUACUGCUAGUUUCUCGGGUCAAGGGAAAAGUCUUUGGUCUGACCUCCAGUAGAAUGUCGGUCUUCUGAGGGAGGGCUUGUUUGGCAUUUGUCUUUGUAACUACAGUGCCUGGCACGACAUCAAGACCUGAUGUUCUCUGAGGUCCCUUCUAGGGUUAGAUCUAUGACCGAUGACCUACGGAUCCUCUGAGCCUCCAUUUCUUCCAUCUGUGUAGUGAGGAGAUUGGACCAGAUGGCAGGAGGGACCCCUUCCAGAUCCAGAGCCAUGAUCCUAUCAUCAGCGCUUGAGGCCAACGGGGUGAGGUUUGACCUUGGAGGGAGAGAACCUCUCACAAAACUCUCGCUUUGGGUAAGCUUCUUGCUGGGCCUCUGCCCAAGUGCAGAAGAAGGUCCUUCCCCAGAUGAAAUCUAAAAUCCUUUGAUUCUGUCCUCCAACAGUGACUGGCUUUCUCUAGCUCCCAACAGUUGAUAAAUAUGGAAGUCUCAAGAUGGUAAUAACUAGCACUUACUAAUAUUUAAGGCUUGCAAAGCACUUUACAUACAAUUCCAAAGGCUUUCCUAUCUGGUUUUUAUCCAAUCCUCUGCCGGCAAUGAUUCAAAGAAUAAAUAAAUUAAUAACAAUAAUAAUAAUGGUUAG